CCUACGGGUGGCAGCAGUGAGGAAUAUUGGUCAAUGGGCGCGAGCCUGAACCAGCCAAGUAGCGUGAAGGAUGACUGCCCUACGGGUGGUAAACUUCGGUUAUAAAGGAAUAAAGUGAGGCACGUGUGCCGUUUUGUAUGUACUUUAUGAAUAAGGAUCGGCUAACUCCGUGCCAGCAGCCGCGGUAAUACGGAGGAUCCGAGCGUUAUCCGGAUUUAUGGGGUUUAACGGGAGCGUAGAUGGGUUGUUAAGUCAGUUGGGAAAGUUUGCGGCUCAACCGUAAAAUUGCAAUUGAGACGGGCAGUCUUGCGUACAGUUGAGGUAGGCGGAAUUCGUGGUGUAGCGGUGACCUGCUUAGCUAUCACG
This 366-nucleotide ribosomal RNA is filed under the name uncultured bacterium. Its description in RNAcentral is "partial 16S ribosomal RNA". It matches the Rfam family "Bacterial small subunit ribosomal RNA", at positions 338 to 701 of the family's 1533-position model. The record is from RNAcentral.